UUACCAUCUUUCAUUGUGCGUGUGUUACUAUUAGUGAAGUGUUUGGUAGGGUCAAUUUUGAACCCCAUCAUAGUGGUACUGGACUCCAGGAGGAUGCAGUGCAUCAUGGAUUUUUUUCUUAGUACACUUUUUUUAUUUUUAAUUACGGUUGAUGUUGGAUAUUUAUGACGAUGCAUAUUUUGACUAAAAUGAACAACGGGCAUGCAGCAAUGCGGAACCGGAGCUAACGGAGCUAUAAUCCAUGGAGAUAUUCGCCUGGAGGAGCCACACGUCGCCCGAAUCCCAGUCCCUGUUUAAUUCAUCGAUUGCUGACAGGUUCCAACAAAUGAUGGCUAAUUCAAAGUUCGCACAAAUCAAACAGCCAUCAAUCAUCAGCCGAGCACACGAACAAAUUCGGUUAUUUUGUCACAAAAAACAAAGCAAUUUGCUAAUUAAUGGUUCUCUGUCGUCGAGUGGCAGAGUUCACGAAUGUAAAACGCUCGGGGAAGGGGAAGGGGAAGCAGAAGCAGAAGAUGAGGUGGAGCCGCAGGUGAAUACGGGGCUUGACCCGGAAGUGACCCCCAGAUACGCCCAAAAAACAGAGGGCUUAUAUCAUAGUUUUUGUUACGAAAUGGUUGGCGAAUGGUUGGAAAUGGAAGUUCAGAAAAAGAAUAUUCUGAAUAUGUAAUUAAGCCAUUCUCUAUACCCUAAGGAGAACAUUAAGGCCCUAUUUUUAGUUUAGCUAAAUAUAUAUUUAAUGCAAUACCUUAAUGGUUAAGAAAACUAUUAGUUUUCUCAGUGAUUUA
Molecule: long non-coding RNA, 785 nt
Organism: Drosophila eugracilis
Lineage: Eukaryota; Metazoa; Arthropoda; Insecta; Diptera; Drosophilidae
Exons: 2
Source: RefSeq, a predicted model, not a curated record